This 442-nucleotide long non-coding RNA is filed under the name Phascolarctos cinereus (koala). Its description in RNAcentral is "lncRNA (ENSPCIG00000032305.1)". The record is from RNAcentral. Lineage: Eukaryota; Metazoa; Chordata; Mammalia; Diprotodontia; Phascolarctidae.
CAACAAGGUCAUUCCCAAGAGCGUAGAGACGUGCUUGUUGAUAAAGAUUCGACAAAGCGGUAACCAGGAGGUUGAGGCUGCUUUGAAAGUUAACCAGAAGGAUAUUCUACAUGUGAAGGGAAGACACCAUAACAGGUCUAUAGAAGGAGAUUUCCGUCAUGACGUGAACUUGGAUUUGAACCAUUCAACUCAGCUGAGGAUCCCUCAGGCACUGGGCCUUCAUGGUGAGAUCUUCUUCAGGCAGCAUCCGGCAGGAGAGUUUGACUGUGGUGUAACCCUGCAAGCUGCUGUCAACCAGAAGGUCACAUCUCAGUUCUUGCUUCAGCUGAAUGGAUCCAAGUCUCACAUUGGGUUUUUCUCCCAACUUAGGCAUCCUGCCAGGGUGACACUUCCUCCAAAUUUCCAGGUCCAGGCUGCCGGUAGGCAUCACAAAGAUCGAAGC